RNAcentral lists this ribosomal RNA (305 nucleotides) under uncultured bacterium. RNAcentral describes it as "bacterial SSU rRNA". It matches the Rfam family "Bacterial small subunit ribosomal RNA", at positions 337 to 659 of the family's 1533-position model. The record is from RNAcentral.
GCCUACGGGACGCAGCAGUGGGGGAUAUUGCACAAUGGGGGGAACCCUGAUGCAGCGACGCCGCGUGAGCGAUGGAGUACUUCGGUAUGUAAAGCUCUGUCAGCAGGGAAGAAAAUGACGGUACCUGACUAAGAAGCCCCGGCUAACUACGUGCCAGCAGCCGCGGUAAUACGUAGGGGGCAAGCGUUAUCCGGAUUUACUGGGUGUAAAGGGAGCGUAGACGGAGGAGCAAGUCUGAUGUGAAAAUCCGGGGCCCAACCCCGGAACUGCAUUGGAAACUGUUUAUCUAGAGUGUCGGAGAGGCA